CCUACGGGUGGCAGCAGUGAGGAAUAUUGGUCAAUGGCCGGAAGCCUGAACCAGCCAAGCCGCGUGAGGGAGUAAGGCCCUGAGGGUCGUAAACCUCUUUUGCCGGGGAACAAAGGCGGGGACGGGUCCGGGCCUGAGGGUACCCCGAGAAAAAGCAUCGGACAAAUCCGUUCCAGCAGCCGCCGUAAUACGGAGGAUGCGAGCGUUAUCCGGAUUUAGUGGGUUUUAAGGGGGCGCAGGCGGGCUUUUAAGCCAGCGGUAAAAGAGCGGGGAUCAACCCCGGCGGGCCGUUGAAACUGGGGGCCUUGAGUGGGCGAGAGGAAGGCGGAAUGCGUGGUGUAGCGGUGAAAUGCAUAGAUAUCGCGCAGAACCCCGAUUGCGAAGGCAGCCUGCCGGCGCCCUACUGACGCUGAGGCACGAAAGUGCGGGGAUCGAACAGGAUUAGAUACCCCGGUAGUC
RNAcentral lists this ribosomal RNA (459 nucleotides) under uncultured bacterium. RNAcentral's name for it is "partial 16S ribosomal RNA". It matches the Rfam family "Bacterial small subunit ribosomal RNA", at positions 338 to 795 of the family's 1533-position model. The record is from RNAcentral.